This 500-nucleotide ribosomal RNA is filed under the name uncultured bacterium. RNAcentral describes it as "partial 16S ribosomal RNA". It matches the Rfam family "Bacterial small subunit ribosomal RNA", at positions 30 to 523 of the family's 1533-position model. The record is from RNAcentral.
AUUGAACGCUGGCGGAAUGCUUUACACAUGCAAGUCGAACGGCAGCACGGACUUCGGUCUGGUGGCGAGUGGCGAACGGGUGAGUAAUGUAUCGGAACGUGCCCAGUCGUGGGGGAUAACGUAGUGAAAAUUACGCUAAUACCGCAUACGAUCUAUGGAUGAAAGCGGGGGAUCGCAAGACCUCGCGCGAUUGGAGCGGCCGAUAUCAGAUUAGGUAGUUGGUGGGGUAAAGGCCCACCAAGCCAACGAUCUGUAGCUGGUCUGAGAGGACGACCAGCCACACUGGAACGGAGGCACGGUCCAGACUCCUACGGGAGGCAGCAGUGGUGAAUUUUGGACAAUGGGCGAAAGCCUGAUCCAGCCAUUCCGCGUGCAGGAUGAAGGCCCUCGGGUUGUAAACUGCUUUUGUACAGAACGAAAAGGUUUCUACUAAUACUAGGAGCUCAUGACGGUACUGUAAGAAUAAGCACCGGCUAACUACGUGCCAGCCGCCGCUGUAA